CCUAGUAACGGCGAGUGAACCGGGAAGAGCUCAAAUUUGUAAUCUGGCGUCCUCAGGGCGUCCGAGUUGUAAUCUACAGAAGUGUUUUCCGUGCCGGACCGUGUCCAAGUCCCUUGGAACAGGGUAUCAAAGAGGGUGACAAUCCCGUACUUGACACGACGACCGGUGCUCUGUGAUACACUUUCUACAAGUCGAGUUGUUUGGGAAUGCAGCUCAAAAUGGGUGGUGAAUUCCAUCUAAGGCUAAAUAUUGGCGAAAGACCGAUAGCGAACAAGUACCGUGAGGGAAAGAUGAAAAGCACUUUGGAAAGAGAGUUAAACAGUACGUGAAAUUGUUGAAAGGGAAACGAUUGAAGUCAGUCGUGACCUCUGGAUUCAGCCGGCUUUGCCGGUGUAUUUCCUCUGGUCGGGUCAACAUCAGUUUGGACCGAUGGAUAAGGGUGGCGGGAACGUGGCACCUCCGGGUGUGUUAUAGCCCGCUGUCGCAUGCAUUGGUYUAGACUGAGGGAUGCAGCUCGCCUUUAUGGCCGGGGUUCSCCCACSUUCGAGCUUAGGAUGUUGACAUAAUGGSUUUAA
This 575-nucleotide ribosomal RNA is filed under the name Naematelia encephala. Its description in RNAcentral is "eukaryotic LSU rRNA". It matches the Rfam family "Eukaryotic large subunit ribosomal RNA", at positions 79 to 643 of the family's 3401-position model. Lineage: Eukaryota; Fungi; Basidiomycota; Tremellomycetes; Tremellales; Naemateliaceae. The record is from RNAcentral.